UGGACGCCAGUCUGCAUGGAGCCGGCCUUGAAAUACCACCCUUUAAUGUUUGAUGUUCUAACGUGGACCCGUGAUCCGGGUUGCGGACAGUGUCUGGUGGGUAGUUUGACUGGGGCGGUCUCCUCCUAAAGAGUAACGGAGGAGCACGAAGGUUGGCUAAUCCUGGUCGGACAUCAGGAGGUUAGUGCAAUGGCAUAAGCCAGCUUGACUGCGAGCGUGACGGCGCGAGCAGGUGCGAAAGCAGGUCAUAGUGAUCCGGUGGUUCUGAAUGGAAGGGCCAUCGCUCAACGGAUAAAAGGUACUCCGGGGAUAACAGGCUGAUACCGCCCAAGAGUUCAUAUCGACGGCGGUGUUUGGCACCUCGAUGUCGGCUCAUCACAUCCUGGGGCUGAAGUAGGUCCCAAGGGUAUGGCUGUUCGCCAUUUAAAGUGGUACGCGAGCUGGGUUUAGAACGUCGUGAGACAGUUCGGUCCCUAUCUGCCGUGGGCGCUGGAGAACUGAGGGGGGCUGCUCCUAGUACGAGAGGACCGGAGUGGACGCAUCACUGGUGUUCGGGUUGUCAUGCCAAUGGCACUGCCCGGUAGCUAAAUGCGGAAGAGAUAAGUGCUGAAAGCAUCUAAGCACGAAACUUGCCCCGAGAUGAGUUCUCCCUGACCCUUUAAGGGUCCUGAAGGAACGUUGAAGACGACGACGUUGAUAGGCCGGGUGUGUAAGCGCAGCGAUGCGUUGAGCUAACCGGUACUAAUGAACCGUGAGG
RNAcentral lists this ribosomal RNA (757 nucleotides) under Shigella sonnei. RNAcentral's name for it is "partial 23S ribosomal RNA". It matches the Rfam family "Bacterial large subunit ribosomal RNA", at positions 2165 to 2916 of the family's 2925-position model. Lineage: Bacteria; Pseudomonadati; Pseudomonadota; Gammaproteobacteria; Enterobacterales; Enterobacteriaceae. The record is from RNAcentral.